Molecule: ribosomal RNA, 253 nt
Filed under: uncultured bacterium
Lineage: Bacteria
Description: partial 16S ribosomal RNA
Rfam family: Bacterial small subunit ribosomal RNA
Source: RNAcentral
UACGUAGGUGGCAAGCGUUGUCCGGAUUUAUUGGGUUUAAAGGGUGCGUAGGCGGCUUUGUAAGUCAGUGGUGAAAUACUCUAGCUUAACUAGAGGGGUGCCAUUGAUACUGCGGAGCUUGAGUACAGAUGAGGUAGGCGGAAUUGACGGUGUAGCGGUGAAAUGCUUAGAUAUGACAUAGAACACCAAUUGCGAAGGCAGCUUACUACACAGUGAUUGACACUGAGGCACGAAAGCGUGGGGAUCAAACAGG